CGAGAAACUGUUGUUACCAUCGGCGCCAUUGUGUGGUCAAUAUGGCGGUUAAUUUGACACAGCCUUGGCGUCUUUAUUGUUCGUGCGAUGGUAACCAUAAAAUUGCUCAACGGCCAUAAUAGAUGUCAUGCUAUUGAAAAAUUAGUUCGCUAAUGGAUUGUUCGAGGGUCGUUCAUUUAACGCUUUCAACAUGGGACAAUCGAAACUUACGAGAAUGCGUCAGCUGUAGGAGUGCGAUGAUCCAGGAAGAGAAGUAUACUCGCCACCUCAGGUUGCUUCUGGAAAAAUAAUUUAAUAAGGAAACAAUAUGGUUGCAACGUAACGACGCAUAAAUAUCAAAAAGGCUUUUUGUCCUCCCUCAAAAGGCGAGACAUUAAUUUUCAUUAAACUAAUUGAAAAUGCCUUGUGUCAACAAGAGAAACGUAUGAUAUAUGAUAAUUGAGAUAUGACCUAUUAUUGAAUCACUGAUAGUAGCUUUGCUUGUAAUAAAGAACAUUUUUAUUGAGUUCAAAUAAAUUUUUUACAAUUUUCCUACAAUUUUUUUCAUCAGAGUUCUAUUAUUGACAACUAUUUAUGUAUAUGGCGAUUUUAUACUACAUAUUUCCAUUCUUCACGCGCAGUGUCAAUUGGUGCAAUCGUGGAGAUUGACGAGACUCGUGAAAGAUCGCUAGGAAUGUAAGCGUUAGUCGUAUACUUGA
Cephus cinctus (wheat stem sawfly) is the source of this 698-nucleotide long non-coding RNA. RefSeq lists it as uncharacterized. The record is from RefSeq and is a predicted model, not a curated record. Lineage: Eukaryota; Metazoa; Arthropoda; Insecta; Hymenoptera; Cephidae. The transcript is spliced from 3 exons.